This 620-nucleotide ribosomal RNA is filed under the name Pantoea agglomerans. RNAcentral describes it as "partial 23S ribosomal RNA". It matches the Rfam family "Bacterial large subunit ribosomal RNA", at positions 591 to 1212 of the family's 2925-position model. Lineage: Bacteria; Pseudomonadati; Pseudomonadota; Gammaproteobacteria; Enterobacterales; Erwiniaceae. The record is from RNAcentral.
GGGUGACUGCGUACCUUUUGUAUAAUGGGUCAGCGACUUAUAUUCUGUAGCAAGGUUAACCGUAUAGGGGAGCCGCAGGGAAACCGAGUCUUAACUGGGCGUUAAGUUGCAGGGUAUAGACCCGAAACCCGGUGAUCUAGCCAUGGGCAGGUUGAAGGUUGGGUAACACUAACUGGAGGACCGAACCGACUAAUGUUGAAAAAUUAGCGGAUGACCUGUGGCUGGGGGUGAAAGGCCAAUCAAACCGGGAGAUAGCUGGUUCUCCCCGAAAGCUAUUUAGGUAGCGCCUCGUGAACUCAUCUUCGGGGGUAGAGCACUGUUUCGGCUAGGGGGCCAUCCCGGCUUACCAACCCGAUGCAAACUGCGAAUACCGAAGAAUGUUAUCACGGGAGACACACGGCGGGUGCUAACGUCCGUCGUGAAGAGGGAAACAACCCAGACCGCCAGCUAAGGUCCCAAAGUCAUGGUUAAGUGGGAAACGAUGUGGGAAGGCACAGACAGCCAGGAUGUUGGCUUAGAAGCAGCCAUCAUUUAAAGAAAGCGUAAUAGCUCACUGGUCGAGUCGGCCUGCGCGGAAGAUGUAACGGGGCUAAACCAUGCACCGAAGCUGCGGCAGCGAC